AGAGUUUGAUCCUGGCUCACGACGAACGCUGGCGGCGUGCUUAACACAUGCAAGUCGAGCGGAAAGGCCCUUCGGGGUACUCGAGCGGCGAACGGGUGAGUAACACGUGAGCAACCUGCCCCAGGCUUUGGGAUAACCCCGGAAACCGGGGCUAAUACCGAAUAGGACCUGGCCUCGCAUGAGGCUGGGUGGAAAGUUUUUCGGCUUGGGAUGGGCUCGCGGCCUAUCAGCUUGUUGGUGGGGUGAUGGCCUACCAAGGCGACGACGGGUAGCCGGCCUGAGAGGGCGACCGGCCACACUGGGACUGAGACACGGCCCAGACUCCUACGGGAGGCAGCAGUGGGGAAUAUUGCACAAUGGGCGGAAGCCUGAUGCAGCGACGCCGCGUGAGGGAUGACGGCCUUCGGGUUGUAAACCUCUUUCAGCAGGGACGAAGCGUAAGUGACGGUACCUGCAGAAGAAGCGCCGGCCAACUACGUG
Molecule: ribosomal RNA, 480 nt
Filed under: uncultured Micromonospora sp.
Lineage: Bacteria; Bacillati; Actinomycetota; Actinomycetes; Micromonosporales; Micromonosporaceae
Description: bacterial SSU rRNA
Rfam family: Bacterial small subunit ribosomal RNA
Source: RNAcentral